UCACUCCAAAAUACCUGAAGGGAGGGGUAAGAAGGAGGUUCAGCUCGAGUGACAGGCAAGAUUAUUUGGCUGAGCAGUUGCCACCAACACAGGAAGGAUCCAUGCUCAUCAUUGAACUUGAGAGAGCAACCAAUCUGAGAAGGGCAGAAACUGAAUAUAAGGCUGACAGCCAGCAAGCUUGUGUGUGGGUGCAAGGAAGCAAAGAAGAUAGCAGCAGAGGAAGACAGCAGAGCAAGAAGACAACAGAGUACAGACAGAAGAGUAGCACCAGCAAUGAAAAGAGGAAAGCAGACACAGGAGAGCAGUAGACAGAUCAAAAGGACCUGGAUGGUACAGAUGACUCAAGAAGACAGAGUGCUAUCUCCUAAGGAACAUGAGCAGGCUCAACAGCUACAACACCAGACCUAUCUGUUCAGAUAAAGCUGGUCUUAGGGAGGAGCCUGGGCACCAAACCAGAAGAAUCAAUUACUUACCCAAGUCUACUCACUGUGACUAUUUAUUUAUCACAUCUGCACAUCUACCUGCUCCACCCAUGAAGCUCCUAUGGCAGGAUCUGAGCCUUAAUCAUUAAACCUCAAAUAUUAACCAGUCCACUAAGUUCACCUUUCAUCAUGGAAUCUCCAGCGAUGUAAAGCUGUCAGAAAUGUCAUAAGCACUUCUGUGUCAGGCUGCGCCACCCCCCAAAGGGGCAUGUCAAUGGUGGGCUGAGGGCAUGACCCAAGGGACAAGAGUGGGUGUGGUGGAGCCAAGCUCCACUAUUGGCUAGUCACUGUUUUUUUGAAGCUUAUCCCAGCACUAGAGGAUAUGUCUUAACUGUGUUUAGUAAAGUGUCAUGUAUAAAUAUGGUGCUGAAUAAAUGUUUUAAGAUGAUCCUAUAGCUCAGUGUGACCCCAUUAGUGCCGAUAAAGCAGUGUUAUGUUCAUAAUCCACAGGGAAUUGCAUUCAGUUCAUCAACUAGUCAGAUGGUCGUAAUGCUAAUGCUGAAUCUUAAGAAAAGGAGAGGUAUACAAUAAAGGAAAUAUCAGGGAUGCAUUGGACCUCCUGCUUCGAAAAUGAAAGAAACAUAUUCAAUCCUGCAUGAAGGCCUACUUUCUAUCUAGAGGUGCCUUUAUGGCUCUCAACACCAUAUUGUUUGUGCACUGUGUUAGUAGCUGGGACCCGGCUUCAGCAAAGCAUUUGAGUGCUUUGAUGAAUUGAGGCUUGAGUGCCUGGUAACCCCUAUCAGUGAACACUUUAAAGCAUUUCCAAACUUUCCGGUACAAUACAGGUCAACUUCUAGCCAGCCAAGUCACGGGUUUUUAUUGAGCCAUUCAGUGGUCAUUUCAGGCAGCUUUUACUGUAAAUAAAAAUGAGAGAGAGAGAAAACACAAUGUUCAUUGAACCAAACAGCCACAUCCAAAUCCAGGCUUGCCCUCAAAGCAGUUUUCUCCUUCAGCAUUAAAAUCUAUACAGCGCAUAAUCCUGAGGAGUUUGAAUUGUGCACCACUUUCCAAAGUAAUGAAGCAAUAAGCCUUAAUGAAAUAACAUCUUCACAGUACACAGUUAGCUCCUUUGCCAGUGCUAUUUCUUUUCAAUUUUGAAGCCUAGAAAACACAAAUAGAAUAUCCUGGGUAUCACAAUAGUUAUAUAGUUACAACUGAAAGGAAUAAUGUACAGUAGUUUUUAUUUAUCCUGAUAAAAUAGAAUAUGAGGCCUGCUGUAAAUGGGACAUCUCAUUAGUUUUUCAUUCAAAGGAACACAUUUUAGACCUUUAUAAGAGUAGAUUGGUCUAAAAAGCCUGUUACACAAAUCCAUGAAAAUAUUUUCCAAAGAAUUAUAGAGCUUGUAAAUAAUGGGUGAAAAGUUGUUUUUUUAAUAUGUAUUCAACAUAAUAAAUGGAAAAUAUGUUAUGCCUUUCAGAAGAGCUAUGAGUGCAGUUUGAUUUUGUGGUGCAGGAGAAGAAGGGGAAGUUAACUGCAUGUUUAGAUAUUCCAGUGAAUGCAGGUCCUCAUGCCACAAAGCAAUGAGGCAAAAUCAAGCAAAAUUAUGCCACUAUUGAGAAGUAAUAGUUCUAACACAGAAGGAAAGACAGAAAGAAAAGGAGAGCAACAAAGUCCCUGUGGUGUUCUGUUGUUGUUGAUUAGUGUCUAUCUAUAUAUCUAUAUAUCUAUAUAUAUAAUGAUAAAUAAUACCUAGCCUUUAUAUUUUAUGUAUAAUAUACACAAUUCGUUUUGUGAAUUUACUGCUCUCCAAGUUUCAGUGGUCCAUUGCCAUUCACCGUGGUCAUUUGUAUUUGCAGUGUGUAUCUGUGUGUAGUAGGGAAGGGAGCAUAGAUAUUCUUAGAAUAAUGUCUGUCAGGAGUCUGGGGUACAUUUCAACAGUUAUGUCCCUCUGUUGUAGUAAUUAAGCACUGUCCUCUUUGCAGUGGCCUUUGCUGGACAUUAGUGCACAUAAUGCACAAUUAGAGCUGGGUGAUUUUUUUAUUAUUUUAAAAUAUUUUUACAAAUAGUAAAUUCAUUUAAAAAUCAUUUUUAGGGACACCUGAACUAUUUGCAAAAUUUAGGUCAAAUUCAAUACAAAGUUUUGAGUGGGGGGAAAAAUGAAAAUAAACAUUUUGGAAAUGUCUAAACAGUUUGUUUAGACAAAAAUAAACAUGAACUAUUUUGAAAAUGUCAAUUUGACAUUUCAAAAUAAAUGUCAAUUCAAAUCAACAUUCAAAACAUUUAGCUUUGACUAAUAUUUUUUUUUCUUUUCAGUUUUUCAUUUGGGUGCAAAGAAACAAACGGAGAAACAACAACAAAAUCACUUUCAAUUGGAAACCAUCUGAUUUUUUUUUCCAGAUUCUUUAGUUUGGCCACUGAACUGAAAAAUCAAUUAUUCACUCAGCUUUAAUCACAAUAUGACAAUUUUUCUAAGCUGACAAUGGCAAUCUACUGCAAAGACACAGCAGGGGUUUAUGGGCAAAGUGACUGAUUAAAGCAGAAUGUGUACUAUGUCUGCUGCUGGUCAAAGUGGUCAUUUUGUCACAGACAUUAAUGUCCACUACAGACCCAAACUUCAUGUUCCAUGAACAUUUGUAUGAACAGAACAUUGCUCGCAAGAACCUUCACAAAACCUAAUGCUAAAGGGGUAUGAAAAAUAUAAAUUGAAAUGUCAAUGCAUGUGUACGCUCCUUGAUUCACAUGCAAGUAUAGGUAUGUGUGCCUGCGAAUCAGGGCUAAUUUCUGCAUCAGAGGUGAGUGAAGGCACUUUAGGAAACCUUACCCUCUGUAUCUAAUAUGUUACAACAGCCCUAAACAGUUUCAGAAAUCAGUGGCAUGUAUUGACAGGAUGACACUAAAAUGUGGUUGUGUGUUUGGUUGGUUGGUUGGGUUUUUGUUUUGUUUUUUGUUUUUCCAUGUUUGAGUCAUCAUCUCUCCAUUAUCAAGUAUCAGGGGGUAGCCGUGUUAGUCUGUAUCCACAAAAACAACAGGGAGUCCGGUGACACCUUAAAGACUAACAGAUUUAUUUGGGCAUAAGCUUUCGUGGGUAAAAAACCACUUUUUCAGAUGCAUGGAGUGAAAAUUACAGAUGC
Long non-coding RNA from Chrysemys picta bellii (western painted turtle), 3553 nucleotides. RefSeq lists it as uncharacterized. The record is from RefSeq and is a predicted model, not a curated record. NCBI's taxonomy places the organism in Eukaryota, Metazoa, Chordata, Testudines, Emydidae.